This 69-nucleotide transfer RNA is filed under the name Ictidomys tridecemlineatus (thirteen-lined ground squirrel). Its description in RNAcentral is "Spermophilus tridecemlineatus (thirteen-lined ground squirrel) tRNA". It matches the Rfam family "tRNA". From Rfam's summary of the family: Transfer RNA (tRNA) molecules are approximately 80 nucleotides in length. Their secondary structure includes four short double-helical elements and three loops (D, anti-codon, and T loops). Further hydrogen bonds mediate the characteristic L-shaped molecular structure. tRNAs have two regions of fundamental functional importance: the anti-codon, which is responsible for specific mRNA codon recognition, and the 3' end, to which the tRNAs corresponding amino acid is attached (by aminoacyl-tRNA synthetases). tRNAs cope with the degeneracy of the genetic code in two manners: having more than one tRNA (with a specific anti-codon) for a particular amino acid; and 'wobble' base-pairing, i.e. permitting non-standard base-pairing at the 3rd anti-codon position. RNAcentral also lists the same sequence under 1 other name. Lineage: Eukaryota; Metazoa; Chordata; Mammalia; Rodentia; Sciuridae. The record is from Rfam by way of RNAcentral.
GGGGUUGUGGCUCAGAGGUAGAGUGCUUGCCUAGCAUGCAUGGGGCACUGGGUUCCAUCCUCAGCACCA